RNAcentral lists this ribosomal RNA (482 nucleotides) under uncultured bacterium. Its description in RNAcentral is "partial 16S ribosomal RNA". It matches the Rfam family "Bacterial small subunit ribosomal RNA", at positions 28 to 523 of the family's 1533-position model. The record is from RNAcentral.
AGUGAACGUUGGCGGCGUGGAUUAGGCAUGCGAGUCGAGCGAGAACCGUAGCAAUACGGGGACAGCGGCGAAAGGGACAGUAAUAUGUAGGUACCUACCCUCGGGUCCGGGAUAGCUGCGGGAAACUGCAGGUAAUACCGGAUGACAUCUCCGGAUCAAAGGUGUGAUUCCGCCCGGGGAGGGGCCUGCAUCCUAUUAGCUAGUUGGCGGGGUAACGGCCCACCAAGGCGACGAUGGGUAGCGGGUGUGAGAGCACGACCCGCGUCAUUGGGACUGAGACACUGCCCAGACACCUACGGGUGGCUGCAGUCGAGGAUCUUCGGCAAUGGGGGAAACCCUGACCGAGCGACGCCGCGUGCGGGAUGAAGGCCUUCGGGUUGUAAACCGCUGUCGUAGAGGAGGAAAUGCAGUGGGGUUCUCCCCUCUGUUUGACCUAGUCUAGGAGGAAGGACGGGCUAAGUUCGUGCCAGCAGCCGCCGUAA